UGGGGAAUAUUGGACAAUGGGCGAAAGCCUGAUCCAGCCAUGCCGCGUGUGUGAAGAAGGCCUUUUGGUUGUAAAGCACUUUAAGUGGGGAGGAAAAGCUUAUGGUUAAUACCCAUAAGCCCUGACGUUACCCACAGAAUAAGCACCGGCUAACUCUGUGCCAGCAGCCGCGGUAAUACAGAGGGUGCAAGCGUUAAUCGGAAUUACUGGGCGUAAAGCGCGCGUAGGUGGUUAUUUAAGUCAGAUGUGAAAGCCCCGGGCUUAACCUGGGAACUGCAUCUGAUACUGGAUAACUAGAGUAGGUGAGAGGGGAGUAGAAUUCCAGGUGUAGCGGUGAAAUGCGUAGAGAUCUGGAGGAAUACCGAUGGCGAAGGCAGCUCCCUGGCAUCAUACUGACACUGAGGUGCGAAAGCGUGGGUAGCAAACAGGAUUAGAUACCCUGGUAGUCCACGCCGUAAACGAUGUCCACCAGUCGUUGGGUCUUUUAAAGACUUAGUGACGCAGUUAACGCAAUAAGUAGACCGCCUGGGGAGUACGGCCGCAAGGUUA
This 549-nucleotide ribosomal RNA is filed under the name uncultured bacterium. RNAcentral describes it as "bacterial SSU rRNA". It matches the Rfam family "Bacterial small subunit ribosomal RNA", at positions 355 to 896 of the family's 1533-position model. The record is from RNAcentral.